Molecule: long non-coding RNA, 455 nt
Organism: Acanthopagrus latus (yellowfin seabream)
Lineage: Eukaryota; Metazoa; Chordata; Actinopteri; Spariformes; Sparidae
Exons: 3
Source: RefSeq, a predicted model, not a curated record
GACACGCAGAGGUCCUUAAACACGGCGUGUUGUUUAUACGCCUCCAGUUAUUCCACCUUCAGAAACUCAGUCAAAUAUUUGCUCCUGCAGGAUUCAAAAACAGCGACGAGAUCACAACCAUCGCGUCUGCUGGCUGUCACCUGUGGGGUCCUCAACACCGGCUGUGACUGACCACCAGUGACCCCUGCUGACAGCACCCAGCACCCAGCACCCAGCACCCAGCAGCGUGUGUCGGUGUGUGGAGGGAGACCUGGCCUGCAGGCGCCUGGAGCAGCAGCGGCCCACAGGUGGCUGAAUGAGGCUCCAGCUGCAGGCCGCUGGAGUCUGAGCAGUGUUGAACAGAUGAACCUCCACAGGACAGAUCCCUCCAUCUGUCACCACUGAGGUUAAAAUAAAACACAGCCACAUCACCAGGUCAUAAUUUAGAAACAUGCAAAAAGAGAAUAUAAAGUCCU